UGAGGAAUAUUGGUCAAUGGGCGGGAGCCUGAACCAGCCAAGUCGCGUGAGGGAAGACGGUCCUAUGGAUUGUAAACCUCUUUUGUCGGGGAGCAAAGAGGCCACGUGUGGUCAAAAGCGAGAGUACCCGAAGAAAAAGCAUCGGCUAACUCCGUGCCAGCAGCCGCGGUAAUACGGAGGAUGCGAGCGUUAUCCGGAUUUAUUGGGUUUAAAGGGUGCGUAGGCGGGACGGUAAGUCAGCGGUAAAAAUGCGGAGCUCAACUCCGUCGAGCCGUUGAAACUGCCGUUCUUGAGUGAGCGAGAAGUAUGCGGAAUGCGUGGUGUAGCGCUGAAAUGCAUAGAUAUCACGCAGAACUCCGAUUGCGAAGGCGGCAUACCGGCGCUCAACUGACGCUGAAGCACGAAGGCGUGGGUAUCGAACAGGAUUAGAUACC
This 434-nucleotide ribosomal RNA is filed under the name uncultured bacterium. RNAcentral's name for it is "bacterial SSU rRNA". It matches the Rfam family "Bacterial small subunit ribosomal RNA", at positions 355 to 786 of the family's 1533-position model. The record is from RNAcentral.